Molecule: long non-coding RNA, 227 nt
Filed under: Capsicum annuum
Lineage: Eukaryota; Viridiplantae; Streptophyta; Magnoliopsida; Solanales; Solanaceae
Description: long non-coding RNA (CANN_LNC005401)
Source: RNAcentral
GGGUGGUUAGCCCAUAAAAGCCCUCGUUACACUACCUAAUUGAGUAGCCUAAGAUAAACCCAUUGCUUCCAAGCAUGAUGAAGAUUAGAGUUGAGAAAGAUAUUGACUUUGAGUGUGAAAACUCUAGAGGUUAGAAAUAAAUGAGAAAAUGGCUCCCAAAGUAGAGUAAAAAGGUAAAGAAAUAUGGUUGAUUUGAGUUGGGUCGUACUGCUAUACUUACUUAGGCG